ACGACCUUACUUGAACAGGAUCUGUUCUAUAGGCUUGUACCUCUGUGUCCUUGUGUUCUAAAGAGACAGGAUAUCAAGUCUGGUGGAUGAACACUGACCGUAUGAUCAGAGCGUGAUUAACAGCCCUGUGAAACCACUAUUCACUGGUGCAGUAGAGGAUCGUUCUCAGCCAUUCAAGGUUGAGAUGAUUAUACGGUUGUCUGACAGACU
Mangifera indica (mango) is the source of this 210-nucleotide small nucleolar RNA. RefSeq annotates it as small nucleolar RNA U3. The record is from RefSeq and is a predicted model, not a curated record. NCBI's taxonomy places the organism in Eukaryota, Viridiplantae, Streptophyta, Magnoliopsida, Sapindales, Anacardiaceae. The transcript has a single exon.